UCCUCACUCUGGCGGCGUGCUUAACACAUGCAAGUCGAACGGAACGUCCCUGCUUUUUUGGGGUGCUCGAGUUGCGACCGGGUGAGUAACCCGUGAGUAACCUGCCCUUGACUUUGGGAUAACUUCAUGAAACUUGGUCUAAUACCGGAUAAGAUCUCCUGCUUCAUGGUGGGUGUUGGAUAGUUUCGGUGGUUGGGGAUGGACUCGCGGCUUAUCAGCUUGUUGGUGGGGUAGUGGCUUACCAAGUCUUUGACGGGUAGCCGGCCUGAGAGGGUGACCGGACACAUUGCGACUGAGAUAAGGCACAGACUACUAUGGGAGGCAGCAGUGGAGAAUAUAGUAUAAUAGGCGGAAGCAUGAUGUAGUAACGCAGCGUGCGGGAUGACGGCAAUCGGGUUGUAUACCACUUUCGUCUGUGACGAAGCGAGAGUGACGGUAAUGGGUAAAGAAGCACCGGCUAACUACGUG
RNAcentral lists this ribosomal RNA (468 nucleotides) under uncultured bacterium. RNAcentral's name for it is "partial 16S ribosomal RNA". It matches the Rfam family "Bacterial small subunit ribosomal RNA", at positions 33 to 507 of the family's 1533-position model. The record is from RNAcentral.